This 279-nucleotide ribosomal RNA is filed under the name uncultured bacterium. RNAcentral's name for it is "partial 16S ribosomal RNA". It matches the Rfam family "Bacterial small subunit ribosomal RNA", at positions 506 to 784 of the family's 1533-position model. The record is from RNAcentral.
UGCCAGCCGCCGCGGUAAUACGGAGGGGGUUAGCGUUGUUCGGAAUUACUGGGCGUAAAGCGUACGUAGGCGGACUAUUAAGUCGAGGGUGAAAUCCCAGGGCUCAACCUCGGAACUGCAUUUGAAACUGGAAGUCUGGAGUUCAGGAGAGGUUAGCGGAAUACCGAGUGUAGAGGUGAAAUUCGUAGAUAUUCGGUGGAACACCAGUGGCGAAGGCGGCUAACUGGACUGAUACUGACGCUGAGGUGCGAAAGUGUGGGGAGCAAACAGGAUUAGAUA